UUACAUCCAAAGCCCUUGACGACAGAGAAGCGAUUCACUGCACAGUAGAGCCCUGGGUAGGGUCGGCGGAAGGACAGGAGAAACUGUAUUUCCAGCCAAGAGCUGCUUUGGGCCAGAGCCAAAUGAUCUCAGGCACUUCUAGACAUCCAUCUGUGGUCAGAGAGCAUGGUGGAGAAUAAAGGAUCCUUUUGAAGAACGCUUUGGGAAGAUGGGACCUGCAGCUCACGGACAGCUUCUUGAUCAGCCUCUCCAUCUCCCGGCACUGCUCCUCCCGCUGCUCAGUCUCCAGCUGUUUGAAGCGGCGCCAGUCGUUGAUCACGCCUUUUGGACCUGAGGUGGGGUGAAUGUGGAGGCGACCAAGGAUGAGCGAGGGAUUAUGGGCCAGCGCACAUCUGUCUAAAGCUGGCUCCAUCGACACCACAGUGACACUCACACAGGGCAGCGUGGUCUACACGCAACCAUGUCCAAGGCAGCCCGGUUUGCAAGUUAAAGGGCCACGCAAAGGCCCAACGUUAGGAGAUGCGUGAAAUAAAUUCAGAUUCAUCUACUCAAAGGAAAACAAAGCGACUCUUAGAAAGAAUGAGGCAGCUAUAUGUUCCCUGCCAUGAAAAAUGUCCAAACAUAUUAGGUCAAAAAAAAAAAAACAACCAAAAUGCAGAACAGUAUCAUGGUAUGAUCCUUCAAUUUUUAGAAAAAGAACUGUAUGUCCAUGUAUAA
Long non-coding RNA from Balaenoptera ricei (Rice's whale), 717 nucleotides. RefSeq lists it as uncharacterized. The record is from RefSeq and is a predicted model, not a curated record. NCBI's taxonomy places the organism in Eukaryota, Metazoa, Chordata, Mammalia, Artiodactyla, Balaenopteridae. The transcript is spliced from 3 exons.